Molecule: ribosomal RNA, 2921 nt
Filed under: Salmonella enterica
Lineage: Bacteria; Pseudomonadati; Pseudomonadota; Gammaproteobacteria; Enterobacterales; Enterobacteriaceae
Description: 23S ribosomal RNA
Rfam family: Bacterial large subunit ribosomal RNA
Source: RNAcentral
GGGUUGUGAGGUUAAGCGACUAAGCGUACACGGUGGAUGCCCUGGCAGUCAGAGGCGAUGAAGGGCGUGCUAAUCUGCGAUAAGCGCCGGUAAGGUGAUAUGAACCGUUAUAACCGGCGAUACCCGAAUGGGGAAACCCAGUGUGAUUCGUCACACUAUCAUUAACUGAAUCCAUAGGUUAAUGAGGCGAACCGGGGGAACUGAAACAUCUAAGUACCCCGAGGAAAAGAAAUCAACCGAGAUUCCCCCAGUAGCGGCGAGCGAACGGGGAGGAGCCCAGAGCCUGAAUCAGCAUGUGUGUUAGUGGAAGCGUCUGGAAAGGCGCGCGAUACAGGGUGACAGCCCCGUACACAAAAGCGCAUGUGCUGUGAGCUCGAUGAGUAGGGCGGGACACGUGGUAUCCUGUCUGAAUAUGGGGGGACCAUCCUCCAAGGCUAAAUACUCCUGACUGACCGAUAGUGAACCAGUACCGUGAGGGAAAGGCGAAAAGAACCCCGGCGAGGGGAGUGAAAAAGAACCUGAAACCGUGUACGUACAAGCAGUGGGAGCACCCUUUGGGUGUGACUGCGUACCUUUUGUAUAAUGGGUCAGCGACUUAUAUUCUGUAGCAAGGUUAACCGAAUAGGGGAGCCGGAGGGAAACCGAGUCUUAAUUGGGCGUUAAGUUGCAGGGUAUAGACCCGAAACCCGGUGAUCUAGCCAUGGGCAGGUUGAAGGUUGGGUAACACUAACUGGAGGACCGAACCGACUAAUGUUGAAAAAUUAGCGGAUGACCUGUGGCUGGGGGUGAAAGGCCAAUCAAACCGGGAGAUAGCUGGUUCUCCCCGAAAGCUAUUUAGGUAGCGCCUCGUGAAUUCAUCUCCGGGGGUAGAGCACUGUUUCGGCUAGGGGGCCAUCCCGGCUUACCAACCCGAUGCAAACUGCGAAUACCGGAGAAUGUUAUCACGGGAGACACACGGCGGGUGCUAACGUCCGUCGUGAAGAGGGAAACAACCCAGACCGCCAGCUAAGGUCCCAAAGUCAUGGUUAAGUGGGAAACGAUGUGGGAAGGCCCAGACAGCCGGAUGUUGGCUUAGAAGCAGCCAUCAUUUAAAGAAAGCGUAAUAGCUCACUGGUCGAGUCGGCCUGCGCGGAAGAUGUAACGGGGCUAAACCAUGCACCGAAGCUGCGGCAGCGACACUGUGUGUUGUUGGGUAGGGGAGCGUUCUGUAAGCCUGUGAAGGUGUGUCGUGAGGCAUGCUGGAGGUAUCAGAAGUGCGAAUGCUGACAUAAGUAACGAUAAAGCGGGUGAAAAGCCCGCUCGCCGGAAGACCAAGGGUUCCUGUCCAACGUUAAUCGGGGCAGGGUGAGUCGACCCCUAAGGCGAGGCCGAAAGGCGUAGUCGAUGGGAAACGGGUUAAUAUUCCCGUACUUGGUGUUACUGCGAAGGGGGACGGAGAAGGCUAUGUUGGCCGGGCGACGGUUGUCCCGGUUUAAGCGUGUAGGUGUGUGUUCCAGGUAAAUCCGGUUCACUUUAACACUGAGGCGUGACGACGAGGCACUACGGUGCUGAAGCAACAAAUGCCCUGCUUCCAGAAAAGCCUCUAAGCAUCAGGUAACAUCAAAUCGUACCCCAAACCGACACAGGUGGUCAGGUAGAGAAUACCAAGGCGCUUGAGAGAACUCGGGUGAAGGAACUAGGCAAAAUGGUGCCGUAACUUCGGGAGAAGGCACGCUGACACGUAGGUGAAGUGAUUUCUCAUGGAGCUGAAGUCAGUCGAAGAUACCAGCUGGCUGCAACUGUUUAUUAAAAACACAGCACUGUGCAAACACGAAAGUGGACGUAUACGGUGUGACGCCUGCCCGGUGCCGGAAGGUUAAUUGAUGGGGUCAGCGCAAGCGAAGCUCCUGAUCGAAGCCCCGGUAAACGGCGGCCGUAACUAUAACGGUCCUAAGGUAGCGAAAUUCCUUGUCGGGUAAGUUCCGACCUGCACGAAUGGCGUAAUGAUGGCCAGGCUGUCUCCACCCGAGACUCAGUGAAAUUGAACUCGCUGUGAAGAUGCAGUGUACCCGCGGCAAGACGGAAAGACCCCGUGAACCUUUACUAUAGCUUGACACUGAACAUUGAGCCUUGAUGUGUAGGAUAGGUGGGAGGCUUUGAAGUGUGGACGCCAGUCUGCAUGGAGCCGACCUUGAAAUACCACCCUUUAAUGUUUGAUGUUCUAACGUGGACCCGUUACCCGGGUUGCGGACAGUGUCUGGUGGGUAGUUUGACUGGGGCGGUCUCCUCCUAAAGAGUAACGGAGGAGCACGAAGGUUGGCUAAUCCUGGUCGGACAUCAGGAGGUUAGUGCAAUGGCAUAAGCCAGCUUGACUGCGAGCGUGACGGCGCGAGCAGGUGCGAAAGCAGGUCAUAGUGAUCCGGUGGUUCUGAAUGGAAGGGCCAUCGCUCAACGGAUAAAAGGUACUCCGGGGAUAACAGGCUGAUACCGCCCAAGAGUUCAUAUCGACGGCGGUGUUUGGCACCUCGAUGUCGGCUCAUCACAUCCUGGGGCUGAAGUAGGUCCCAAGGGUAUGGCUGUUCGCCAUUUAAAGUGGUACGCGAGCUGGGUUUAGAACGUCGUGAGACAGUUCGGUCCCUAUCUGCCGUGGGCGCUGGAGAACUGAGGGGGGCUGCUCCUAGUACGAGAGGACCGGAGUGGACGCAUCACUGGUGUUCGGGUUGUCAUGCCAAUGGCACUGCCCGGUAGCUAAAUGCGGAAGAGAUAAGUGCUGAAAGCAUCUAAGCACGAAACUUGCCCCGAGAUGAGUUCUCCCUGAGACUUAGAGUCUCCUGAAGGAACGUUGAAGACGACGACGUUGAUAGGCCGGGUGUGUAAGCGCAGCGAUGCGUUGAGCUAACCGGUACUAAUGAACCGUGAGGCUUAACCUUACAACGCCGAAG